This 468-nucleotide ribosomal RNA is filed under the name uncultured bacterium. Its description in RNAcentral is "partial 16S ribosomal RNA". It matches the Rfam family "Bacterial small subunit ribosomal RNA", at positions 28 to 507 of the family's 1533-position model. The record is from RNAcentral.
GACGAACGCUGGCGGCGUGCUUAACACAUGCAAGUCGAACGGAAAGGCCCUGCUUUUGUGGGGUGCUCGAGUGGCGAACGGGUGAGUAACACGUGAGUAACCUGCCCUUGACUUUGGGAUAACUUCAGGAAACUGGGGCUAAUACCGGAUAGGAGCUCCUGCUGCAUGGUGGGGGUUGGAAAGUUUCGGCGGUUGGGGAUGGACGCGCGGCUUAUCAGCUUGUUGGUGGGGUAGUGGCUUACCAAGGCUUUGACGGGUAGCCGGCCUGAGAGGGUGACCGGCCACAUUGGGACUGAGAUACGGCCCAGACUCCUACGGGAGGCAGCAGUGGGAAAUAGUGCACAAUGGGCGGAAGCCUGAUGCAGCAACGCCGCGUGCGGGAUGACGGGCUUCGGGUUAUAAACCGCUUUCGCCUGUGACGAAGCGUGAGUGACGGUAAUGGGUAAAGAAGCACCGGCUAAAUACGUG